CCUACGGGAGGCAGCAGUGGGGAAUAUUGCACAAUGGGGGGAACCCUGAUGCAGCGACGCCGCGUGAGUGAAGAAGUAUUUCGGUAUGUAAAGCUCUAUCAGCAGGGAAGAAAAUGACGGUACCUGACUAAGAAGCCCCGGCUAACUACGUGCCAGCAGCCGCGGUAAUACGUAGGGGGCAAGCGUUAUCCGGAUUUACUGGGUGUAAAGGGAGCGCAGACGGCUGUGCAAGUCUGGAGUGAAAGGCGGGGGCCCAACCCCCGGACUGCUCUGGAAACUGUAAAGCUGGGGUGCAGGAGAGGUAAGCGGAAUUCCUAGUGUAGCGGUGAAAUGCGUAGAUAUUAGGAGGAACACCAGUGGCGAAGGCGGCUUACUGGACUGCAACUGACGUUGAGGCUCGAAAGCGUGGGGAGCAAACAGGAUUAGAUACCCGAGUAGUC
This 440-nucleotide ribosomal RNA is filed under the name uncultured bacterium. RNAcentral's name for it is "partial 16S ribosomal RNA". It matches the Rfam family "Bacterial small subunit ribosomal RNA", at positions 338 to 795 of the family's 1533-position model. The record is from RNAcentral.